Molecule: ribosomal RNA, 401 nt
Filed under: uncultured bacterium
Lineage: Bacteria
Description: partial 16S ribosomal RNA
Rfam family: Bacterial small subunit ribosomal RNA
Source: RNAcentral
GACAUUGCGCAAUGGGGGAAACCCAGACGCACCAACGCCGCUUGAAGGAUGAAGGUUUUCGGUUCGUAAACUUCUUUGACCGGGGACGAAUAAAUGACGGUACCCGGGGAACAAUCCACGGCUAAGUACGUGCCAGCAGCCGCGGUAAUACGUAGGUGGCGAGCGUUGUCCGGAUUUACUGGGUGUAAAGGGCGCGUAGGCGGGGCGGCAAGUCUGAUGUGAAAUCACGCGGCUUAACUGCGGAACUGCAUCAGAAACUGCCGUCCUUGAGUAUCAGAGGGGAAAGCGGAAUUCCUAGUGUAGCGGUGAAAUGCGUAGAUAUUAAGAGGAACACCGGUGGAGAAGGCGGCUUUCUGGCUGAAAACUGACGCUGAGGCGCGAAAGCGUGGGGAGCAAACAGG